UUUUCUGAUGACAAAAGGCCAGAAGGCCUGAUCUAACCCAGCUCGUCGAAUGCCUCACCCAAUUAACGCUUAGAGGCAUAUUGAGAUAAAUUUUACUCUGAUUGC
Molecule: non-coding RNA, 105 nt
Organism: Fusarium poae
Lineage: Eukaryota; Fungi; Ascomycota; Sordariomycetes; Hypocreales; Nectriaceae
Source: Rfam